GGGGGCGUUUUGGCUUCGACGCAGAUCGCGAAACCCGAGGUGCAUGCCGAGGUUGCAAUCACCCUCGUUAAACAGGUUGUAACUUUGAUAGUUGCCAACGACGACAACUACGCACUGGCGGCCUAAAACCCGCUAGCGCCCGCCCGGCAAGUGUCCAUGCUUCUGGUCACGGGUGUCAUAACUCAUGGAACCGCCAAUCGGCACGUCUUGGGCUGAUUGGUUAAACCUUCAAGGCUAAGCGAACGUUUUCCCUUUUCGUCGGGUAGCGUUCGCCGACAAUCAAAGACGUAAUAAGCAUGUAGAUCCAAGGGCGGAGGUUCUGCGGACGCGGGUUCGACUCCCGCCGCCUCCACCA
Molecule: transfer-messenger RNA, 355 nt
Filed under: Salinisphaeraceae
Lineage: Bacteria; Pseudomonadati; Pseudomonadota; Gammaproteobacteria; Salinisphaerales
Also listed under: 2 other names
Description: GCA-2683405 sp002683405 Standard tmRNA
Rfam family: transfer-messenger RNA
About the family: Bacterial tmRNA, also known as 10Sa RNA or SsrA, is named for its dual tRNA and mRNA-like properties. Its role is to liberate the mRNA from a stalled ribosome.
Source: RNAcentral